GACGAACGCUGGCGGCGUGCCUAAUACAUGCAAGUCGAGCGAAGUUUUUCUGGUGCUUGCACUAGAAAAACUUAGCGGCGAACGGGUGAGUAACACGUAAAGAACCUGCCUCAUAGACUGGGACAACUAUUGGAAACGAUAGCUAAUACCGGAUAACAGUAUUUCUCGCAUGAGAGAUAUUUAAAAGUUGGUUAUGCUAACACUAUGAGAUGGCUUUGCGGUGCAUUAGCUAGUUGGUGGGGUAAAGGCCUACCAAGGCGACGAUGCAUAGCCGACCUGAGAGGGUGAUCGGCCACACUGGGACUGAGACACGGCCCAGACUCCUACGGGAGGCAGCAGUAGGGAAUCUUCCGCAAUGGGCGAAAGCCUGACGGAGCAACGCCGCGUGAGUGAAGAAGGAUUUCGGUUCGUAAAGCUCUGUUGUUAGGGAAGAAUGGAUAUGUAGUAACUAUACAUAUAAGAGAC
Molecule: ribosomal RNA, 465 nt
Filed under: Gemella morbillorum
Lineage: Bacteria; Bacillati; Bacillota; Bacilli; Caryophanales; Gemellaceae
Description: bacterial SSU rRNA
Rfam family: Bacterial small subunit ribosomal RNA
Source: RNAcentral